Xiphophorus hellerii (green swordtail) is the source of this 843-nucleotide long non-coding RNA. RefSeq lists it as uncharacterized. The record is from RefSeq and is a predicted model, not a curated record. Lineage: Eukaryota; Metazoa; Chordata; Actinopteri; Cyprinodontiformes; Poeciliidae. The transcript has 2 exons.
AUUUAAGUAUUUAAAUUUCCUCUGUACAAACUGGUUAGAGGGAAGGAAAUAUGCCUGAUGUGCCUCUGGUAGAAUCAAAACUAAUAAUAUUUAUAUUUGAUAGAUAGUUUAAUAUCUAUACAUAUAAAAAUACAGGAAUUUAACAAUGUGGUCUGGUUAGACUGUUUCUGCAACCAAAAUUCCAUGCAGGUCUGACGUAAAACAGAAAAUGAAAAUGCCGAAAAUGUUUAGAUCUGUGAUUCUGGAGGAAUGAGUCUUUUCCAAACCUGAUCAGAACAUUUUUUUACAGUAAUCAUUUAAAGGUAGUUUGAAGGGUAAAGUGGGCACCAAUUUCUAUUGGUCCAGCAGAGAGUAAAACCAUACAUAAGACAACAUUUAAUAAAUAUCUCAGUGUCAUAAAUGCAGAGUUUACAGUGGUGUAAAUAUGCAAGUCAGCUAUGAAUAGCUAAGGUAAUUAAUAUAGUAAAGAAACCAAUGAAACUGUAUUGGGGGACAUAAAGUCCAGGACUGUUGUAAUACUCUUAUCCAGUCAUGUACUUCAAAUCUGCCAUUGCAGUUGGAUUGAAUAGUUGUUUUUUUAAUAAAGUGCCUUAAGAGAGUUUUUUGUUUUGAGUUGCCACCAUAUAAAGAUACUUAACUGAAUCAAAUGUGUCAUCAUGAUUAUGACACAAGAACAUAUUUGGAAUUGUUCAGUAAAAAUCUUUUGGUAACCAGAAGAUAUUACUUUCAGCUAUAGCUCGUAUCUAAGUACUAUAGCUGUAUUACAUAUCUAUCUACUUGAACACUGUAUGGUAAAUGUAACAUUUUGUAUUGUAUUCUAAUACAACAUUUACUUUGUUAAUA